AGAGAAGAAAACCAAAGGUUAAAGAAGAAUCGACACUAGCGAGCGCACUAGUAUCACACAGACGUGUGGGGAUUAGUUUUGCACAAUGCUAGAUGUCUCCUUUAUAUAGCCUUCAAAUCAGGGUUUUGCCUUAGUUACAAAGCAAUCCAUAUUCACUGUUAGAUGAAAACCUGAUUUAGAUUCAAGCUAAUAUUUCUCAACCGUUAGAUCGAAACUUAGCUUGUCACACACACUUGGGUAGACGUUUACUGGGUUUGUGAAAACCAUGCCCAAACGUGUAUGUUGGUUCAACAUAGUAACCCAAAAGGUUAACCAUAUGAGUAAUUCAUAUUAACCUAGUUCUUCUUCACCAUAACUAGUUCAAUUGACUCAAAUGAACUAGUUAGAGAGUUGUUCAAUUGCUAUGAGAUCUUAUGUAACUACACAAGACACAAUUGAAACAAAGAUGAUUCGAUUCGAUGAAUCGGCUCAUGAACUUUAUAGCCACAGUUUGCAUAAAGCAUUCCUUAGUAAUUUAAGUUUCAUGUUCAUAGCACAUCUUUAUAUCAUAACCAAUUAAGCUCACAAACAAGUUCGUGGACUUAAGACAACCGGCAGAGUUUUCCAAACUCAGCAGAAAAUCUCGGCAAAGAGACUUUCGCCAGUUCGCGGAUUAAACACGCGAACGAUUUUUUGGGAAAUCUCAGCAGAAAUUCUCGGCAAGAAAACUUCCGUCCGUUCGUGGACUUGGCAAAGCCAAUUCCUCCGGUUUCUCUCAAUCAACAAAGUUCGAAAACUUCGGAUUAAGGAAUACAUGGUUAUGUAAUAUAAACUCUCAUUCAAAUUAUUGAGACAUUCUCAGAGGACGUUAUGUAGCCGUUAUUCACAGACCGUUUCACGUCAGAGCAAUUCUCAAAGUAAUUGAAACUUUUCAUGACUUUCGUCACUAGGUGAAGAUAAACUUGAUCAAAGCGAAACGCCUUACCAACACACAAUUUCGAGAAAAAGAUAAGUAGUGAAUACUCAGCUCGAAAUGUCAAAUGUGUAUGAUCCAGUCUAUAUAGCAUACGACUUUUUGUCUCAUAAGAAGUAGGAGAUAGAAUAGAUAGACUUUUGAGUGAUAGAUAAGUUCAAGUCUCCACAUACCAUUUUGUUGAUGAAGUUCCAUGGUUCCUUGUAUAGAUCUUCGUCGUUGUAUGAUGAAUCGCCAUGAAGUCCUUGAGCUCAACUACACUUUUCUAUCCUAGUCCGAGACUUAGCUAUAAUAGACUAGAAAUCAAGACUCAUAGUUUUGAUCACUAACAUUGACAAACAUGCUUGAUAUAGCAACGCAUGCGAGGUCGACCUAGCUAUGCUCUAACACCCCGAAAACCUAAGGGUUCCUUCGCAAGGUUCGUCCACGGAGGGUGAGUCAGGGCCUAAGAUCAGGCCGAAAGGCGUAGUCGAUGGACAACAGGUGAAUAUUCCUGUACUACCCCUUGUUGGUCCCGAGGGAUGGAGGAGGCUAGGUUAGCCGAAAGAUGGUUAUCGGUUCAAGAACACAAGGUGACCUUAGGGUAAAAAAGGGGUAGAGAAAAUGCCUCAAGCCAAUGUCCGAGUACCAGGCGCCACGGCGCUGAAGUAACACAUGCCAUACUCCCAGAAAAAUCUCGAACGACCUUCAACAAAAGGGUACAUGUACCUGAAACCUCCACAGGUGGGUAGGUAUAUAAUACCUAGGGGCGUGAGCCAACUCUCUCUAAGGAACUCGACAAAAUAGCCCUGUAACUUCGGAGAAGGGGUGCCUCCUCACAAAGGGGGUCGCAGUGACCAGGCCUGGGCGAUUGUUUCCCUAAAACACAGGUCCCCGCAAAGUCGUAAGACCAUGUAUGGGGGCUGACGCCUUCCCAGUGCCGGAAGGUCAAGGAAGUUAUUGACCUGAUGACAGGGAAGACGGCGACCGAACCCCCAGUGAACGGCGGCCGUAACUAUAACGGUCCUAAGGUAGCGAAAUUCCUUGUUGGGUACGUUCCGACCCGCACGAAAGGCAUAACGAUCUGGGCACUGUCUCGGAGAGAGGCUCGGUGAAAUAGACAUGUCUGUCAAGAUGCGGACUACCUGCACCUGGGCAGAAAGACCCUAUGAAGCUUUAUUGUUCCCUGGGAUUGGCUUUGGGCUUUCCCCGCACAGCUUAGGUGGAAGGUGAAGAAGGCCUCCUUCCGGGGGGGCCCGAGCCAAAGUGAGAUACCACUCUGGAAGAGAUAGAAUUCUAACCUUGUGCCAGGACCUACGGGACAAGGGAUAGUCUCAGGUAGACAUUUUCUAUGGGGAUAGUCCUCCCAAAAGGUAACGGAGGCGUGCAAAGGUUUCCUCGGGUCGGACGGAGAUUGGCCCUCGAGUGCAAAGGCAGAAGGGAUCUUAACUGCAAGACCCACCCGUCGAUCAGGGACGAAAGUCGGCCUUAGUGAUCCGAAGGUGCCGAGUGGAAGGGUCGUCGCUCAACGGAUAAAAGUUACUAUAGGGAUAACAUUCUGAUCUUCCCCAAAAGUUCACAUCGACGGGAAGGUUUGGCACCUCGAUGUCGGCUCUUCGCCACCUGGGGCUGUAGUAUGUUCCAAGGGUUGGGUUGUUCGCCCAUUAAAGCGGUACGUGAGCUGGGUUUAGAACAUCGUGAGUGUUUUGGAGUAAAACCUGGGUGUGUUGAUGAGAAACGAGUUCAAGCCCUAAACAAAUGCAAUGCACGGGAAUGCUUUUAGGUUCGAGAAAUCAAUCUGUAAGACUCUGGCCUAAACCAAGAAAUGGUCGUUCCAGAUUCAAUUCGGUCACAAGGUGAAGGAGAAGGGUUGUUCUUAGGGAGGGAAGCGGAGAAGGUGUUUGAGAUCAGAGUGUUGAAUUAUGAAGGUGUGGUUGUUUAUGACUUGCGUAUCAGAAAAUGGUUUCUGGCUACUUUUGUUGAUAACACUUGUCUUCUCUUUUUCGAAAUAGAUUGAAAUUCUAUUUA
Molecule: ribosomal RNA, 2959 nt
Filed under: Papaver somniferum (opium poppy)
Lineage: Eukaryota; Viridiplantae; Streptophyta; Magnoliopsida; Ranunculales; Papaveraceae
Description: bacterial LSU rRNA
Rfam family: Bacterial large subunit ribosomal RNA (bases 1232-2683)
Source: RNAcentral